This 7878-nucleotide long non-coding RNA is filed under the name Paramuricea clavata. Lineage: Eukaryota; Metazoa; Cnidaria; Anthozoa; Malacalcyonacea; Plexauridae. The record is from RNAcentral.
CUCUUGGCUAAAGUGGUUCGCCGGCAGACACACUGCUCCAUUUCGCUCGCACGGCACACGAAAAGCGUGCGAAAAAGCGCGUGUGGGCAUUAAAAAACACAUCAAAAAAAGACCGCGGGCUUUGACAGGUGGAGGUGGUAUAAGAGCUCAUCCCAAAAGAUUUUGAAGGCCAUUUUCAGUAGAGCGCCUUACAGGAAGGUUCCAUUUAAAGGGAGAAGAGUAAAGCUAGUUCAUUGGAAAAGAAAAAGUGUCCAAGAUUCUGUAAACGGUACAAGUGUACAAGAGUAGUAAUUUUGAUGAUGUUUUGUACACGCAAAUUGUUGCUAUGUUUUAUCCUGCUGGCGCUGGUGUCACGCAAUAUCGCGCAAAGGUGUGGAGGUCCUAUUUAUUACGGGUGCAAGGUAUGGUAAGAUUCUGUUUCAUUAUGAUCGUAAAAUAGUCAGCUAGAAAGAUAAUCAACCCAUCAAAUCUGAUAAUUUAACGACUGACAGUAUUUCUUGUUCACCUCGCAGUGUAGAAAUAGUUACUUAACUCUUAAGGUGUCUAGUUACUGGAGUCUAGUAAUUUACUGAAAUACUAAUUUUUUAAUGUAAUAAUUGAUUUGAUGCCAUUAAUAUUUCGCACUCGAGUUUACGUAUUAUUUCCGUACUACAAAGGCAAAUUAACAAUCCAUAAUUUUGGGCUGUAUUGCUUCAUCUAAUACUGAGGGGUGACAAACACUUGACUUGCGCUCUCUCAAAAUUCGAACUUGGUGAGUAUAUGGCUCAAAGGCAUAAGUCGCCUUGUUUAGUUCAAAAGGAAUCUGGCAAUUUUUUUCUAGUAGUUUUUGAAACAGAGGAGCUUCGACUUCGAUGCUCCCCUCAAAAAAAUUUAAACAUUUCUCGGUGUCGUAUGAGAUUUCUAACUUUAAAGGAGGUUCUUUGCUAGAAACAUCUAGAAGUGAUCUUAAUUCUUAUUCAUAUAUUGAUUACGUGUUGAUUAACAGCUCAAAUAGUUCUAAACUGUAUCACGUAACUUCAGUAGUGCGAUUAAGUCACGCUAGUUGCCAGCUGGAUCAAGCCUUCAAGACACUUCACACUAUUUUUUGAAUAGAUUUAUUGAGUGACAAAUAUUUACACUUCUUUAGUGCAUGCACGUCGUUUUACAAUGUCUGAUGUUACUUCUCAGAAUUGCCCAACACGACUGUGCUUCAACAAUUCAGUCACUUUUACAAACUCUUUGCUGUUCAUAGUGUAUAUGCUUUACCAACACUAUAUACAAUACGAUGCGAUGAACACCCCAAUUAAGUCGCAACUCUCAACUACUAUGUCUAUGAGACGCAGACUUGCAGCCUAUAUUCACACCGUAACAGAACAGUCCAUAGAUAUUUUUACUACCAUGAAAUUGUCAAUGUACAAAUUUCUUCUGCGUAAACUGGAUCACGUUUACAUAUAUUUUGUUCCUAUUUUGUGGUCCAUAAUCUAUCUACCAAAACUUUUCAUGUCAAGUCCCGUGACAUUCGUAUAUGAGAUUAGGUGUUCCCACUUCCCAUUACAACUGGCAAAUCCAAAUACAACAACUACAACUACAAAUAAUGUUUUUAACUGUAUAAUUAUCUUCAAUGCACGCACGAAAUACAUAUAAACUUCACAAAAAAAAUGUGUUCCUCCCCAGAGGUCCAGUAAGUUCUAGAAAUCCUUGAGAGUUUGGACUGCUCCACGCCUCCAGUGUAAUUAAUUAUUACAAAAGAAAACCGACGAGUCAGGCGAAUCUGGAAGCACUCUUCUCACAUGCAAUUGAGGCAAUCAGAAAUAACAUCGAUCCCAAUCACAGUGCAUGGUACGCCUGUUUUAAUCGCUGUAUCAGCAGGGUUAUUCUGCAGUACUAUAGCUAAAGUUGAUAUACUAUAGUCUAUACAGUCAUUAUCUUUGAGACACGAUAUCUUUCAAUUACAUAGCACAGUAAGGAUUCUCAGUGAAAAAAUAACCGCAAACAAUUUUGCAAUAACACUACUUACUCCUAAAACUCAAUAAUAGGAGAAGAUAUUCUGGUAACAAAUAAAACCGUGAUAUGAAAAAGAUCGUCCAAUUUACUCAUCAUGCUAUUCCUUGCUUACCUCGACCUUUGUCUGGAAGUGAGAUCUUGAUUGAUGACCAUGGCAGGGUUAAGCCGGUCAGCCAAAUUUUAAUUCUGCUUAGAACUGCGUAUAAUACAAGGAGAUCGACUUCAUCCGGUGUUAUUGCAAUAGCCAUUGACUGAUUUGAUUUGCUUGCAAUGAAUCAAUAUCAGUUCCAGUUCGAUGCAAGCGGAAUAUGCUCUCGUGUGCACAUAUUUUCUAUAAAAACAUGCCCCAAAUUUUUAACAAUGCAUUCUCACAAAUAGAGUUAAUUAUAUGAAAAGAGAUAGACAAAACAUUUCAUUUUUUUUAAGUCGCAGUGCUUGAAAUAUUAGAUGUUUGCGCAGUUAUUUAAUCCCCCCACUGUACAAUGAAAUCAGUAAAAUCAGUUAUAGUUAAGAAUUUGAAAAACAACGUUCUCCUUUGCCCACGUCUUAAUGCAUAAAAAUGUAGACCCUAUCUUUAAAGAUCAGUGCGCCAAUUCUAUUAGUAUUCUAAUAAAUAAUCUUAGUAGUACAAGACACCGUUCACACUACACACCGGAGCGGUUUGUCAGAUAAAUGGCGCGGAAAAGUCACAAUUAGCCGUCGCGUUCACACUACUCUGACUUUUGCCGGCCGUAACAAUUUGAGCACGAUUUCUAAACGGAGCAAGAUGAAAACGGAGCGCAUGGCAACUUCGUGUGAACAGCGGCACCGUCUUUAUCUUUGCUCCACUUCAGCAUUUUUUAUUAUUUUUUUUUACUUCAACAUUUUUUUAUCAUUUUAAAUUUUUUUCACUAUUUGAGCUCAUUUUGCGAACGACUUAGUGUGCACAGACCGUGGGGGUGAUUAUUUCGCUCGGGCCGCGUUGCGUGACGGUAAUCUUAUAAGUAUCACGAUAUAGCACUUCAAAGUCAAGUUCGGAAAUUUCGUCAUAGUGUAUGUAAAUACUGACUUUGUGAUCUGAGUGAAGGCUGGAAAUGAUCGACAUCAUCCAAUGUCAUAAAAAAAAUAAUGCAGUAUUUGCAGCUCCAAGGCAAGAUAUAAUUUCAUCGAUAUAGGUUUUUAAAAAAAUUAUAAUUCAUUUAUGACGUAUAUCACAAGAUCUUUUUCAUGUUAUUACUAUGAAGAUUGAAGGAUAAAAAUAUUUUGAAAAUAUCGACAACUUCAUGAAAUCAGCUUUUGACUUGUUACAAUCAACUAUAAUGAGAUCUUUUAUGCAUAUAGUUCUAUUUUGUUUCUAUCCUUUAUUAUUAAUAAACCUUUAUUCUUGACUUGCAACCAACCCUUGAGAAUUAUGGCCGCCAUGUUGAAAAACAAUAAAAUGCCAGCCAUGUUGGUGCCAAAUUCAGUGAGUUUCGAAAUGAAAUGAGAUUCUUUUGUUAAAAUACCACCGGCCGCCGUGCAAGUCAAGAAUUGAUGUUAUGUUUGGUAUAAAGAUUAUUAUUUCUGCACAAGAGACUUUUCCGAAACAUUUCACUAGCGCUGUGAAUUAAGUGGCCGUUUUACGUGCUAGAAUGGUAGUAUUCUAUAUAUGAAGAAUUUUGAUGGAAAACACCGAGAUGUUUCAUGUUGUUUAUUUGAAACUACAGCAUGACCUUGCAAUUGUGCAAACUCGCACGAUCGAUUGAGCAUGCGUCACUGACGCAUUUUCACCUGAAAAAACUUCCGUAUUUUGGUUUAUCCGCGCUUUAUUAUUUCCGAUAAACCUAUAUACUCACGUUCAUGGUAAAUAUUUAGUUGAAUAUUUUUAUAACUCCAUCUUCUACCAGUGAUCCUAUAUAAUGUACUGCAAAUUUGAUUAACUUUAUUAUCAAAUGUUGUAGGCUAAAUUCAUUCAAAUUUUACACAUUUUUUUUAACAACAAAAAAACUCUAGUCUCAAGCACUCAGCUCAACGUCAACUCUGGCUCAACGUGCAAAAGAGCACAUGAGUGACAUAGGAUAAAAUGAAAGUGCGUGACCUUUCUGUAUAAAGCUGUACAAUUCCGUCAAAUACGAGACGAUUUUACUCAUCGAACGGAAAGUUUGAAACCGGCCGAUCAACAGGUGUUAAUAAAGUCUCCUUAGAAUGAAAAUUGUGUCAAGAAGUACUCGAUCAAUUUCGGGUUAAUCUUUGGCAAACGCCUACCUAUGAGACACAUUGACUGCCUUUCAGUCUAUACUCUAUAGAAAUGUCUUGAUUAUAAAAAGUAUCGUCUAGCACUCGAGGAAAAUUACACCUGGGACAUUUCGCAAUGAUCCUAACCUUUAUAUACGACGGCCUCAUAACAAACUCUUCAAUUUUAAUAGUUCUAUGCAACGUAAGGUGGGAUGUCACAUGUGCGCCUUUUACGACCGAGCUUUGAUUCCUGCAUGCAAUGUGCAAUAUGCAAUUUUCUAUACUCUAUAGUUAUCAUUUGGCUUCGAUCAGAGUGACUCCAGCCAAUUUCCUAACUCCUGAAGUUCUUUAUAUUUUAUAGAGCUAUAUGGAGUGUACUAAACUGAGUUAAAAAAACUCAUUAAUAAUUCAGGAGGAAAACACAAAGAAAAAUCAUAAGCGUGUCGUAUCUUUAUAUGUGAUAAAAAAUCAUGUUAAUUUACAUAAACUUUAGCUUUGAUUUUCUCGGUUUUGACAAAGUUUAUUUUAAAAAUUACUUCGCCAAUGAACUCGUAUAAGAUGAGUCGUUUUUUAAGCCAUUUAAAGCACGCGUAGGAGUGUUUUAUCAGAUAUAAAACGCUCGACUGCACCUCGCGUUUUAUAUCUGAUAAAACACUCCUACGCGUGCUUUAAAUAGUACUUAGUUCGCUCCUGCUCGGCUUAAUAAUGAGAUAAUUUAAUUUUGAACAUGGCGUGAUAUUAGAACUGAAAAAUCAUUCUUUUAGGAUACAAAUCAAAAUUUUCCCAUAAUACUUAUUGAAAUAUUGUUACUUACAAUCGCAUGCAGGUUUCAUGCAAAUUUACGUAAAAAAGGACAAAAGUUUGUAUUGACUAUUGUUCGUGACAUGACCUGUCGACAUACCAUUUAUUCACCGUAGUCUUUAUAUUUUAUAUCUUUCAUUGGGCCUUUAAUUGCAUUGAUAAUACAGUAUACUCAGUCCAACGGAAACCUCUAUUAAAAUAAAUUUUGUUUUAUAACAUAAUACCAAUUUCCGUAAACAAUACCAAUUGCGUGAGAGUUGUGAGACCAAAACCGCAGACUGCUUGAUAAAUAAGCGCCCGAAGGAAUUGCGGAAUGAAAUAUGAGCAUUGGUCGGACGAAAAGAAGAAAAUUUGAAUCAACAACUAUUGUUUACUGAUGUUUGGGGCGGGCAAUCAAUCAAAGAUCAAUCCCUGCAGGUUGUUGAUACCAUAGACAAUGUGAGAAAGAUAAUAGUUCUCGAUAUUUUGAGGGAAAGGAGAAAUAUUGGUGCCGGUAGUCUUUCUCUGCAUUCUGACGAAUGCCGAGAAAAUACAAAAGAUGCACGAUGAAAAUACAUUCAUGCACGAUGUAAAUACAAAAGAAAUGAAUGUUUAAUCAAUGUUUGUAAAUCGGAUAAAGAUUUGUCCUGAUUUACGGCAUAAACUUCAGCUUUGAUUUUCUCGGCUUAGACAAUGUUUAUUUUUAAAAUUACUUCGCCAAUGAACUCGUAAGAUGGGUCAUUUUUUAAGUACGAUAAAACAUUCGUAUCCGAUCUGUAUCUGAUAUACAAACUCUCGCCUUCGGCUCGAGUUUGUAUAUCAGAUACAGAUCGGCUGCUCAUGUUUUAUCUAGUACUUAUUUAUUCCAAACAAAGUAGCAAGAGAGGUAUAAAGGAUACAAACAAAUUACAACUCUACAAGAUAAUACUGCCUAGAUUUAUUAUUACAUAAAUAUAUCUAAUUGUAUGAUUGUAGUAGAUCAAAAGUUGUUAAUAAUAUGUCAUAACAGUUUUUGGAAAGAAAGUUUAAAAAUCUAUCUCGCAAUGGCAAUGGUCUUCAAAACAAAAAUAAUUUAUUAAUUUUAUACAAGCUCCCAAUGUCAAUGAAAUUAUUCCUUAUUUGUUUUUAUCAUUAUAGCAAUAUAGGAUUAGGAUAAACAGCUAUAACUUCAAUCAACGUCUGACCAUGCAGUGUAACGAGCCUGAUUUGAAGGUCUCAUCAGCUCAGCUAUAUUUCAGCCAAUCAACACGGCGCCAAUGAAACGUGGUUGGCUGAUCCAUAGCCUAUCGAAGGGAAGAUCUGAUGGCAGUGAAACUCAUUAGAAUAACAAUAUAACUCGUUAUCUAUGCAUGUUGGUCAACGUUUAUUCAUAAAUCACCCGUGCAUGUGCAUUAUAUUUUUACAAUUUACCCUAUUCAAGUCACGGAUAGGUAACUUUCCUGAAACAUUGCUAUUGGUUAGUUGGGCAAAAAAACGGUGAAGGACCAUAUUUAUGAAUAAACGUUGACUAACAUAGAUAAUGAGUUAUAUUGUUAUUCUCAUGAGUUUCACAACCAUCUUCCCAGUUCGAUAGAGCGUUUGCACUCAUUCCCCAGGGACCAACUCAACAAAAGCCAUGGCGGUCGUAUUGGUGUUCCAGACAAAAGAGUCUAAUUAAAAUUAUUUUGAAUUGGAACACCAACAUGGCCGCUGUGACGUCAUGCGCAAACGCCAGGCAAUGGCUGAUCUGAUUAAGAAAAUUAAACCACAGUUAAUAGAAAUGGGAGUUAAUAGACAUGGACAAUGUCAUGAAUAAACAUAGAAAAAUCCUUAAGGACGAAAAAUUGGAUUUACUCAUAUUUACGCCAAGUAAAUGAAUAGAAAAUAUUAUAUUCAUUCAAAUUUGCUGAAAAGUAAACAAGGGGAAGACCUCAUUUGCUCUUUUUUUGCCAAAAUUAUUUAAAUACGGUCUUCCCCUUGUUUACUUUGCAGCAAAUUUGAGUGAAUAUAAUAUUUGCUAUUUAUUUACUUGGCGUAAAUAUGAGUAAAUCCAAUUUUUCGACUCCUGACCUAGUUGCUAAUAUUAUCAGUUUAAUCAACUAUGUUUAAUUUCCAUUUUUCAGAAAAUAUCAGAAAGUAAACUAAGACGGCUGAUAAGCCACCAGAUUAUCUCAAACAGACAUAAGAAGCAUCGAAUGAAUGCAUUCAGAUUGUUAAAAUCCUGAAAGAAUGAUGGACAUGCAUUAAAGCUUUGGACUGUUGCAAUACUGCACGCCUAGUGGUGGAUUAUUCGCCCAAUAUCAAAAUUAUGAUAGUUUCAACCUGACAGUAACUAAUAGAUAGGAAGGUCUUUAAUUAUAUGUAUAGACUGAAUGUGUAGAUAGGCGUACGGAAACUUUGUGGGGCGGACAAAAAUUUGCCCGACACUGAUGGAAAUUGGCCAUGCAUUAUCAUGGAUUUAUUGAUAGAUAAAUAGAGAAGGUGAUAAAUCGAAGGAAAUUUCAGUGACGAAGCUAGCCGUAUAGCAACUUGUCAUGCUAUGCAAAUUCGUGAUGAUUUGACUAUUCAGAUGCUGGUCAUUAGCAUAUAUAGCAUGACCAGUUGCUAUCGGUAGCUCGCCAAUUGAAGGAACAUAUGGCUCAUGUCACUAUUUACGAGUACUUCUAGGAUUUGAUUAUUUAAGAUACUUCGAAAACCACUCACUCUACUGCAUGCAAUUUGAAUUUAAUUGAAGAAGAAAUUUCAAUCUGACAAUCAGUUAUUCAGUUUCUCUGACUAAACUUACUAUCUCAUGCAACAUGAACAUUGAUAUCAUGACAAAAUCGAGAACUAUAGGGGCCAUUCACAAAGGAUGUCCGGCCAAAUGAUGGAUUUCCAGACCCCCCUCCCCCCCUUGUCCGGCAUUGUCCGAAUUAGUGACUCCCCCCGGACAUCCGCCAUGCC